UGGCUCCGUGCUGCUAUUGGCUGCUGACUUGGCGCAGGCGCUAUGGCCCCUGCGUUAGCCUUCCCAGUUGCAGAGGCAGGGGUUUGGCUCCUGGAGACCAUAGGUUCGAAUCCCGUCUGGGAACAUCAGUUUGCGCACCUGUAAAGAGGCUGGCAUUAUAGGCUGGCACAGAAUGUGUCGGGUACUCGACUUCAAAGUCAUAGAGAUUCCUCUUGGAGAUGCCGAGGGCAGGGCAGGAGAGCUUGGCCAGACGGCACAGGUCCUGUAGCUGAUUCCAAGACGACUUGCAACACACACUGCAGCCUAGAACAAGGAGGCCAGAAAGAACUUACUGGGUAUCCUGCUGAAGGCACCGAUCAAAGGGGACCCCAAAUCCUUUCUGGGAUUCCAAAGAACUGCCUCAGAGUCAGUGAGAUUUAAUCCACAGGCUUUCUCCAUGCUGAGACCCUUCUACAUCAAAAAUGUGCCACUUCCUUCAGCCCCAGUGCUCAUUCCAAGGCCACCCUCCCCCCCAGCUGUGGCCCUCAAAGUGGGAUCUGCUGCAGGAAUUGUCCUAAAGGAAUCUAUUCCUAGAGCUUCCAACUCCCUCCAUACUAUUCCUAAAACUGCCUGCAAACCUGCAGUUGGGUUCAGGACCUAAUCAUCCCUCUCCCCACUUUGCAAAAUAAAGAGAACAACCCCCCCA
Molecule: long non-coding RNA, 685 nt
Organism: Nyctereutes procyonoides (raccoon dog)
Lineage: Eukaryota; Metazoa; Chordata; Mammalia; Carnivora; Canidae
Exons: 2
Source: RefSeq, a predicted model, not a curated record